AAACAAAUGAAAUGAAAUAAAAAGGAAGUCCCUAGGGGGUCACCCCACCCCCUCUUGUUUGAAAACUUGUAAACGAUCAACAUCCCCACCCCUAAACCAUAUAUAUUCUUGUAUGGGACAAUAAAACUAAUCAAAUGAAAUUAAAUGGAAGUUCCUGGGGGUCACCCCCACCCUGAUCAAUUUGAGAAUGUACUAUUAUCUUGUAAAUGGUCCAGAUCCCCACCCCUAAACCAUAUAUAUUCUUGUAGGGGACAAUAAAACAAAUGAAAUGAAAUAAAAGGGAAGUCCCGAGGGGGUCACCCCACCCCGUCUUGUUUGUAAACUUGUAAACGGUCAACAUCCCC
Molecule: long non-coding RNA, 344 nt
Filed under: Mytilus galloprovincialis (Mediterranean mussel)
Lineage: Eukaryota; Metazoa; Mollusca; Bivalvia; Mytilida; Mytilidae
Source: RNAcentral